RNAcentral lists this non-coding RNA (45 nucleotides) under Schistosoma margrebowiei. The record is from RNAcentral. Lineage: Eukaryota; Metazoa; Platyhelminthes; Trematoda; Strigeidida; Schistosomatidae.
AUCCAGCUGACGAGUCCCAAAUAGGACGAAAUGCACUUCCUGGAU